RNAcentral lists this ribosomal RNA (468 nucleotides) under uncultured bacterium. RNAcentral describes it as "partial 16S ribosomal RNA". It matches the Rfam family "Bacterial small subunit ribosomal RNA", at positions 28 to 507 of the family's 1533-position model. The record is from RNAcentral.
GACGAACGCUGGCGGCGUGCUUAACACAUGCAAGUCGAACGGAAAGGCCCUGCUUUUGUGGGGUGCUCGAGUGGCGAACGGGUGAGUAACACGUGAGUAACCUGCCCUUGACUUUGGGAUAACUUCAGGAAACUGGGGCUAAUACCGGAUAGGAGCUCCUGCUGCAUGGUGGGGGUUGGAAAGUUUCGGCGGUUGGGGAUGGACUCGCGGCUUAUCAGCUUGUUGGUGGGGUAGUGGCUUACCAAGGCUUUGACGGGUAGCCGGCCUGAGAGGGUGACCGGCCACAGUGGGACUGAGAUACGGCCCAGACUCCUACGGGAGGCAGCAGUGGGGAAUAUUGCACAAUGGGCGGAAGCCUGAUGCAGCAAUGCCGCGUGCGGGAUGACGGCUUUCGGGUUAUAAACAGUCUUCGCCUGUGACGAAGCGUGAGUGACGGUAAUGGGUAAAGAAGCACCGGCUAACUACGUG